CCUCUCAUGGCGUAGUGGUUAACGCGCCCCAACUACAGAUCGGGGAGUCGUGAGUUCGAUUCUCACUGAGAAGA
Molecule: transfer RNA, 74 nt
Filed under: Aedes aegypti (yellow fever mosquito)
Lineage: Eukaryota; Metazoa; Arthropoda; Insecta; Diptera; Culicidae
Rfam family: tRNA
About the family: Transfer RNA (tRNA) molecules are approximately 80 nucleotides in length.
Source: Rfam by way of RNAcentral